AUUGAACGCUGGCGGCAGGCCUAACACAUGCAAGUCGAGCGGAUGAAGGGAGCUUGCUCCUGGAUUCAGCGGCGGACGGGUGAGUAAUGCCUAGGAAUCUGCCUGGUAGUGGGGGAUAACGUCCGGAAACGGGCGCUAAUACCGCAUACGUCCUGAGGGAGAAAGUGGGGGAUCUUCGGACCUCACGCUAUCAGAUGAGCCUAGGUCGGAUUAGCUAGUUGGUGGGGUAAAGGCCUACCAAGGCGACGAUCCGUAACUGGUCUGAGAGGAUGAUCAGUCACACUGGAACUGAGACACGGUCCAGACUCCUACGGGAGGCAGCAGUGGGGAAUAUUGGACAAUGGGCGAAAGCCUGAUCCAGCCAUGCCGCGGGGGUGAAGAAGGUCUUCGGAUUGUAAAGCACUUUAAGUUGGGAGGAAGGGCAGUAAGUUAAUACCUUGCUGUUUUGACGUUACCAACAGAAUAAGCACCGGCUAACUUCGU
Molecule: ribosomal RNA, 483 nt
Filed under: uncultured bacterium
Lineage: Bacteria
Description: partial 16S ribosomal RNA
Rfam family: Bacterial small subunit ribosomal RNA
Source: RNAcentral